Molecule: small RNA, 82 nt
Filed under: Flavobacterium araucananum
Lineage: Bacteria; Pseudomonadati; Bacteroidota; Flavobacteriia; Flavobacteriales; Flavobacteriaceae
Description: Flavo-1 RNA
Rfam family: Flavo-1 RNA
Source: RNAcentral
UCCUAGCCCCGAUAGAAGUGGAAAUCCUUUUGUGGCGCUUCUUUAGAGACACAAAAGAUUGAAACGAAUAGCGGGAUUAGCU